GGAUAGGACCUAUCUAUACCUAUUAGUUGAUGAUGGGAUGCAUUUAUUAUGUAAGCUAUUUUAUUAAAAUAAUUAUUAAUACUAAAUAUUUUGAUUUUGAUAUUGUCAUAAAAUUUUUUAAGAAAAUAGUCAAUACUCGGGUUCGUCUACUAUUAUAUUAUGAUGGCAUAAUAGAAAAUGAUGAAGAUGGCAUGCAGUAUAGUCAGCCUACGACCC
This 216-nucleotide long non-coding RNA is filed under the name Elaeis guineensis (African oil palm). RNAcentral describes it as "long non-coding RNA (EGUI_LNC045576)". The record is from RNAcentral. Lineage: Eukaryota; Viridiplantae; Streptophyta; Magnoliopsida; Arecales; Arecaceae.